This 320-nucleotide ribosomal RNA is filed under the name uncultured eukaryote. RNAcentral's name for it is "partial 18S ribosomal RNA". It matches the Rfam family "Eukaryotic small subunit ribosomal RNA", at positions 1470 to 1796 of the family's 1831-position model. The record is from RNAcentral.
CCCUUAGAUGUUCUGGGCCGCACGCGCGCUACACUGAUGCACUCAACGAGUCUCCACCUUGACCGAAAGGUCCGGGAAACCUUCGAACUUGCAUCGUGAUGGGGAUAGAUUAUUGCAACUAUUAAUCUUCAACGAGGAAUACCUAGUAAGCGCAUGUCAUCAGCGUGCGUUGAUUACGUCCCUGCCCUUUGUACACACCGCCCGUCGCUCCUACCGAUUGAAUGGUCCGGUGAAAUCUCGGGACGGCGGCUUGGUCGCUUGCGUCCGACUGCUGAAACUUGAUUAAACCAUAUCAUUUAGAGGAAGGUGAAGUCGUAACA